GCAUCUGUGCAUGCAGCAUAUCAAUAAGCGGAGGAAAAGAAACUAACAAGGAUUCCCCUAGUAACGGCGAGUGAAGCGGGAAGAGCUCAAAUUUGAAAUCUUAAAGGGUUUCCCUUUACGAAUUGUAGUUUAAAGAAGUGUUUUCUGUUGAGGUUUUGGUAAGAGUUCUUUGGAAUAGGACAUCAUAGAGGGUGAGAAUCCCGUAUUUGACCUUUACUUUCAACUUUGUGAUACACUUUCAAAGAGUCGGAUUGUUUGGGAAUGCAGUCCAAAAUGGGUGGUAAAUUUCAUCUAAAGCUAAAUAUUGGCGAGAGACCGAUAGCGAACAAGUACCGUGAGGGAAAGAUGAAAAGAACUUUGAAAAGAGAGUUAAACAGUACGUGAAAUUGUCAAAGGGAAGCGUUUGACACCAGUGUUGUUUUUCUGAAAAUCAAUUAAAGAACUGUUUAUGCUAAGCUGUUUAGACUUUAUCAGCUAACUGUUUAGUUUUGAGCUUUUCUUUAAUGCACUUUUCAGUUAACAAGUCAACAUCAAUUUCUUUUGCUGUAAAAAAGCUUGAGGAAGGUGGCUUGAGAUUCGUCUUAAGUGUUUAUAGCCUCUUGCCUAUGCAGUCGGAGAGAUUGAGGUCUGCAGCGUAGAUCCUUCGGGGCUAAAUGCAUUUGUGCUAAGCUUAUAACAUUUUAUAGACAACUUGUUGACUAUGAUUUGUCUUGUAGCUUACUCGCUUAUGUUAUUUUACCUACGCUUAGGAUGUUGACACACGCGCGUGCUCG
RNAcentral lists this ribosomal RNA (773 nucleotides) under uncultured Neocallimastigales. RNAcentral's name for it is "partial large subunit ribosomal RNA". It matches the Rfam family "Eukaryotic large subunit ribosomal RNA", at positions 24 to 643 of the family's 3401-position model. Lineage: Eukaryota; Fungi; Neocallimastigomycota; Neocallimastigomycetes; Neocallimastigales. The record is from RNAcentral.